RNAcentral lists this long non-coding RNA (310 nucleotides) under Elaeis guineensis (African oil palm). RNAcentral's name for it is "long non-coding RNA (EGUI_LNC078479)". The record is from RNAcentral. Lineage: Eukaryota; Viridiplantae; Streptophyta; Magnoliopsida; Arecales; Arecaceae.
GACAUGAAUAUGUCACCGAAAUCUAAAAUCUGAAAUAAAAAACAAAAGGUUAAUAAAGUAAACUGGAGAUCUGAUCUCAAUACCUUCGGAUCCUGUGGAUGUCCAGAGUUCCUGUCAUAGUCGCACAAGCGUCCGGCCUCUACUGGUAUCCACACGGAGAUGCCUAAUUGAAGCAUCGAGGCCAUCGGUGUGCUAGCACCUUGCAGGCCUCGCUCCUCAACUUUAGAUCUAGAUCUUCUUCUAGAAUUCGAAGAAGAAGGCUGCAUGAAUCCUUUUGCAUAGAUCUGACAGGAUCUGAACCGAACCACCA